This is a long non-coding RNA of Oncorhynchus tshawytscha (Chinook salmon), 172 nucleotides long. RefSeq lists it as uncharacterized. The transcript has 2 exons. The record is from RefSeq and is a predicted model, not a curated record. NCBI's taxonomy places the organism in Eukaryota, Metazoa, Chordata, Actinopteri, Salmoniformes, Salmonidae.
AUUAAGGUAACGCCCCACCCCUGAUACCAGUAAUAAGAACUACCUGAUUAAGGUAACGCCCCACCCCUGAUACCAGUAAUAAGAACUACCUGAUUAAGGUAACGCCCCACCCCUGAUACCAGUAAUAAGAACUACCUGAUUAAGGUAACGCCCCACCCCUGAUACCACUAAU